Molecule: transfer RNA, 85 nt
Filed under: Glycomyces sp. TRM65418
Lineage: Bacteria; Bacillati; Actinomycetota; Actinomycetes; Glycomycetales; Glycomycetaceae
Description: tRNA-Tyr
Rfam family: tRNA
About the family: Transfer RNA (tRNA) molecules are approximately 80 nucleotides in length. Their secondary structure includes four short double-helical elements and three loops (D, anti-codon, and T loops).
Source: RNAcentral
GGCAGGUUACCCAAGUGGCCAAAGGGAGCUGACUGUAAAUCAGCCGUCUUCGACUUCGCAGGUUCGAAUCCUGCACCUGCCACCA